This 500-nucleotide ribosomal RNA is filed under the name uncultured Glomeromycotina. RNAcentral describes it as "partial small subunit ribosomal RNA". It matches the Rfam family "Eukaryotic small subunit ribosomal RNA", at positions 591 to 1092 of the family's 1831-position model. The record is from RNAcentral. Lineage: Eukaryota; Fungi; Glomeromycota.
CCAAUAGCGUAUAUUAAAGUUGUUGCAGUUAAAAAGCUCGUAGUUGAAUUUCGGGGUCAGUAGGUUGGUCAUGCCACUGGUAUGUACUGGUCUCACUGAUUCCUCCUUCCUGAUGAACUGUAAUGCCAUUAAUUUGGUGUUGCAGGGAAUCUGGACUGUUACUUUGAAAAAAUUAGAGUGUUUAAAGCAGGCUAACGCCUGAAUACAUUAGCAUGGAAUAAUGAAAUAGGACGUUCGAUCCUAUUUUGUUGGUUUCUAGGUUUGACGUAAAGAUUAAUAGGGAUAGUUGGGGGCAUUAGUAUUCAAUUGGCAGAGGUGAAAUUCUUGGAUUUAUUGAAGACUAACUACUGCGAAAGCAUUUGCCAAGGAUGUUUUCAUUAAUCAAGAACGAAAGUUAGGGGAUCGAAGACGAUCAGAUACCGUCGUAGUCUUAACCAUAAACUAUGCCGACUAGGGAUCGGAUGAUGUUAAUUUUUUAAUGACUCAUUCGGCGCCUUACG